Amphiprion ocellaris (clown anemonefish) is the source of this 2130-nucleotide long non-coding RNA. RefSeq lists it as uncharacterized. The transcript has 2 exons. The record is from RefSeq and is a predicted model, not a curated record. Lineage: Eukaryota; Metazoa; Chordata; Actinopteri; Pomacentridae.
UCGAAAGGUCAAGGUAGGGGGUUAGGGUUAGAGGUCAAAGGAUCAGGGUAGGGGUUAGGGUUAGAGGUCCGGGGGUCUGGGUAAGAGGUCCAGGUGAGGUUAGGAUCAGGAAGGAUUGAGGUUAGAGGUCAGGGUUGGGUAGGAGUCAGGGUUAGGGAAUGAAUUAGGGGUCCAGGUCAAGGGUCGGGGGUCCGGGUUUGGAUUCUGGACGAGUUUAAGUAUUGUCUGCUUCUGUAAGAAGGUAAGUAUAAACAAUGUCAGUAUUUCUGUAUCAUGCUGAGUACAAGCAUGAUACAGAACCCUAACCCUAGUAUUUAUAUACAAUGUAUAGUCAAGGCAUCAUCAAAUGUAAGUAGGAAAUUUCAUAACAAUCCAAUAUCUAAUUCCUUUUUGUAGUUAUAUUUACACUUAUGUGACAAUACUCUGUUUCGUUUUCUCCCAACAGGUUCCCGCUGUCUACAGGUUCUGGUUUCCCGAUGAGGAGGCAUCCCACCAACAGGUAAGUAUACGUUCUUUUCAGGUAAGUCUGUAAGCAUUCACAGGUAAGUAUGUAACCAUAUUCCUUUACAGGUCUAUUUAAUAUUAAAUUCAAACAUAUAUUAGAGGCUUCAGACAUGUACCCAAACUCAGUUCAUAAAAUAAAUAAAUACAUUAAAAUAUAUGAAUAAGUACAUAAAUAAACCUUUGUAAGUGCAAUAGGUUACCAAAUAAGUGCUUAAAUAUGAAAAAGCAUACACAAAGGAAUUCAUAAGCAUAGUUUUUGUAAAGAAUAUCAUGCUAAAAAAAGGUAAAAUCACAAUUCCAAAUAUAAAAAAUUAAAAACAUCGCAUACUUAGAUUAGAACGUAUUUACAUUAAGAGUUAAAGUAAUAAAUAAAAUAAUAUAUGCAAAAAAAAGUCACUUGAGUGGUACCAUUCUGGAUUAACCUCUUUUCAUGUUUUAUCUGUUAUUUUGUUGGUCAGCAUACUUUAUCCCUGCACUUCAUUUUUUGGGCCAGAAGAUGGAGGCAAAGGACCGUGUUUAAUCCAGCCUUUCAUUCAGGCCCAGAGGAUGGUAAAUUUGGAGUCUCAUAAUCCAACUCCUUUCUGUUUUUUGUCUCUGUCGCUUUGUCCAUUGUAGGUUCUGUUCUAACCCGAAAAUUAAAAUGGAGUCCAUGGCAUGCUCCUGGAAGUGUUUCCCUGAGACUAUGGGUUGAGGAGGAAGUGGAAGCAGCUCUGAGGAGAGAGGGGUUUGCUGUAAAUGAUGAGUGGGUGCUCUGCAGUGAUCAUUUUAAACCUGAUGAGUUUGACAGGGCUGGGCAGAUUUCCCGGCUUAGACCUGGUGUCAUUCCAUCAGUGUUUAACUUCCCGGCUCAUCUUGGAAGAGGAGGUGCAUCAUUGACAAGGAUGCAGCAACUCAGUUUUAUUGAGUUUCAUUAUUUUCAUGACAGUUGGCAGCAAUUAAAAUCUCCAUCACAACUACGCCCCCUGCUGUCUGAUCCUCUUCUGUCUGCAUGACACCGUGCUCCCAAACACACCAAGGAGCACAGGCCAGAGCUACGCAGGGUUUGUGGGCGGCCGUCCCGCAUAUUGCAGACAUGCAGAACCUGUGGGUUACAGUAUAAUUUUUCAUCUUAUAACUAUCCCACUGUGUUGUGUUAAUUCCUUAUGCCUUUAAUAGUAAUGUUGACCAUUUUAAAGGAGCAGGACUGAGCUCUUUAUCUGAGGAGGGACUGUUACCUCCUAGUUUAAUGUUCAUUUUCAACGAGAACAAUAAACUAAGAAAUGUAUGAUUUAUAAUAAUUUGUAACUAAACAUAAAUAAAGACUAAUUGUGUGCAGUUGGAACAUGUUGGUAAUGAAAGUUUGCUAGUUUGACUCCGCCCACUGAAACUGCCACCGACUGCCCUCUCUUAUGUCUGCAGUUGAGCUCUUUCUGGGUUUUACACUAAUAGUUUAAUAGUGAUGCAAAGAUGUUUUUUUGGGGGGUUCAGCUUCUAUGAGUGUUUACAGUAGGAUGGUGCUGUUGAAAACAUGUUGCACAUUUUGUAGUUUACUUGUGAUUAUUGCAGCUGUUUCUUUGGAUAUUUCAGUGUACAGAUUUAGUCUGUAGCAUGACAUGUUAGACUGAUGGAUUAAAAUGAUCUGCUGUA